This 73-nucleotide transfer RNA is filed under the name Sus scrofa (pig). It matches the Rfam family "tRNA". From Rfam's summary of the family: Transfer RNA (tRNA) molecules are approximately 80 nucleotides in length. Their secondary structure includes four short double-helical elements and three loops (D, anti-codon, and T loops). Lineage: Eukaryota; Metazoa; Chordata; Mammalia; Artiodactyla; Suidae. The record is from Rfam by way of RNAcentral.
UCCCUGGUGGCCUAACGGUUAAGGAUUCAGCAUUGUCACUGCUGGAGCUCAGGUUCCAUCCCUGGCCUGGGAA